CAGUCGCCACGGGAAUACGAAGGGGGCUAGCGUUGUUCGGAAUUACUGGGCGUAAAGCGCACGUAGGCGGAUAUUUAAGUCAGGGGUGAAAUCCCAGAGCUCAACUCUGGAACUGCCUUUGAUACUGGGUAUCUUGAGUAUGGAAGAGGUUAGUGGAAUUGCGAGUGUAGAGGUGAAAUUCGUAGAUAUUCGCAGGAACACCAGUGGCGAAGGCGGCUAACUGGUCCAUAACUGACGCUGAGGUGCGAAAGCGUGGGGAGCAAACAGGAUUAGAUACCCCCGUAGUCCCUGUCUCUUAUAA
This 301-nucleotide ribosomal RNA is filed under the name uncultured bacterium. RNAcentral describes it as "partial 16S ribosomal RNA". It matches the Rfam family "Bacterial small subunit ribosomal RNA", at positions 509 to 809 of the family's 1533-position model. The record is from RNAcentral.